CCUACACAUCUUGUUUCGGGUGCCCUGCAAAGGGUGAAACGGGAAACCGGUGACUCAUGCACACACGCAUGACAGUCCGGUGCUGCCCCCGCAACGGUAAGCGAGCGAAACGUCAUAUCCACUGUGCCAGCCGGCAUGGGAAGGCGACGUUUUCAGGCAUUGAGCCCCUCGCAAGCCCGGAGACCGGCCCGAAAAAAUCAGAUAAC
Molecule: non-coding RNA, 206 nt
Filed under: Pseudomonas fluorescens
Lineage: Bacteria; Pseudomonadati; Pseudomonadota; Gammaproteobacteria; Pseudomonadales; Pseudomonadaceae
Also listed under: 1 other name
Source: RNAcentral